RNAcentral lists this ribosomal RNA (372 nucleotides) under uncultured organism. RNAcentral describes it as "bacterial SSU rRNA". It matches the Rfam family "Bacterial small subunit ribosomal RNA", at positions 526 to 896 of the family's 1533-position model. The record is from RNAcentral.
CGGGGGGGGCAAGCGUUGUUCGGAAUUACUGGGCGUAAAGGGCUCGUAGGUGGCCAACUAAGUCGGACGUGAAAUCCCUCAGCUUAACUGGGGAACUGCGUCCGAUACUGGAUGGCUUGAGUUUGGGAGAGGGAUGCGGAAUUCCAGGUGUAGCGGUGAAAUGCGUAGAUAUCUGGAGGAACACCGGUGGCGAAGGCGGCAUCCUGGACCAACACUGACACUGAGGAGCGAAAGCCAGGGGAGCAAACGGGAUUAGAUACCCCGGUAGUCCUGGCCCUAAACGAUGAAUGCUUGGUGUGGCGGGUAUCGAUCCCUGCCGUGCCGAAGCUAACGCAUUAAGCAUUCCGCCUGGGGAGUACGGUCGCAAGGCUG